Molecule: ribosomal RNA, 460 nt
Filed under: uncultured bacterium
Lineage: Bacteria
Description: partial 16S ribosomal RNA
Rfam family: Bacterial small subunit ribosomal RNA
Source: RNAcentral
CCUACGGGAGGCUGCAGUGAGGAAUAUUUGUCAAUGGGCGGGAGCCUGAACCAGCCAAGUCGCGUGAGGGAAGACGGUCCUAUGGAUUGUAAACCUCUUUAGGCGGGGAGCAAUGCCGGGCACGCGUGCCCGGAGGGAGAGUACCCGCAGAAUAAGCAUCGGCUAACUCCGUGCCAGCAGCCGCGGUAAUACGGAGGAUGCGAGCGUUAUCCGGAUUUAUUGGGUUUAAAGGGUGCGUAGGCGGAUUUUUAAGUCAGCGGUAAAAUGUCCGGGCUCAACCCGGGCCGGCCGUUGAAACUGGGGAGCUUGAGUGGGCGAGAAGUAUGCGGAAUGCGUGGUGUAGCGGUGAAAUGCAUAGAUAUCGCGCAGAACUCCGAUUGCGAAGGCAGCAUACCGGCGCCCGACUGACGCUGAGGCACGAAAGCGUGGGGAUCGAACAGGAUUAGAUACCCCGGUAGUC